UGCUGAGCUGCUGGUUUGGAAUAGCUCCUGAGCACAGGGUGAGAUCCUUGACAGCCAUUCCAAUGAGAUGGAAAUGUGUUCCCACUUGGCAGAGUUCAGUUGUGCAUAGGACAUCUGAUGAACCUUCUGGAGCUUCUCAGCAGAGACCAUUCUCCUCUCUUCAUUGAAACAUGCACUGUCCAGCUGUGAAACAUUGCAAGGUUUAUUUUUGCUGACAGGAAACACUUUCAAGUAUCGUUCUGUCUUUCUCCUACAAGAGUUCCCACCAGUGCUGUCAGAAGGUCACAAACAGGGCACUACCUGUGCUGCCCUGGGGCUGUUGAUGUCCUCAGCUGUUGUAGGAGAAACACUAGACCUGGAACCCAGUUUGUUACUGGUAAGAAAUAAUUGUCUUGGAUUUCAUUUGUUUAUUUAUUCAACAUUGUAGUUUACAUGUUUUCAUUAACUAAAUCUGCAAAAAUCACUUGCUGCUUUUAAUAACAAUAUAGCAAAAUAUGCAUAUCUGGUCUUUUAUUCCCUCUAAAAUUUUUAACUUUACAGUUGCUUAAUUUUGAAUUCUAAUUACCCUCGUCCUGAGAUGUGGAGGACAGCAGUUUUCACUUACCUCUCAUUUUCAGUCCUGGUUUUCUCUUGAAAUUCAUGUGCUGUCAGAGCUAAUGAAGGUUAAUAAAUG
Molecule: long non-coding RNA, 673 nt
Filed under: Junco hyemalis (dark-eyed junco)
Lineage: Eukaryota; Metazoa; Chordata; Aves; Passeriformes; Passerellidae
Description: lncRNA (ENSJHYG00000013052.1)
Source: RNAcentral